Molecule: non-coding RNA, 25 nt
Filed under: Rattus norvegicus (Norway rat)
Lineage: Eukaryota; Metazoa; Chordata; Mammalia; Rodentia; Muridae
Source: RNAcentral
CUGGAUAGUUAGCCUCCACAGCACC